RNAcentral lists this small nucleolar RNA (58 nucleotides) under Notamacropus eugenii (tammar wallaby). RNAcentral's name for it is "Small nucleolar RNA SNORD66 (ENSMEUG00000017043.1)". It matches the Rfam family "Small nucleolar RNA SNORD66". Rfam says of the family: snoRNA HBII-142 is part of the C/D family of snoRNAs. It is the human orthologue of the mouse MBII-142 snoRNA and is predicted to guide 2'O-ribose methylation of small 18S rRNA at residue C1272. The record is from RNAcentral. Lineage: Eukaryota; Metazoa; Chordata; Mammalia; Diprotodontia; Macropodidae.
CUUCAGUGAUGAUCUCUGGGCCACGGAGACCCUGUGAUGGAGCUGAGGUUCUGAGGAG